This 1657-nucleotide unclassified non-coding RNA is filed under the name Hevea brasiliensis (rubber tree). The record is from RNAcentral. Lineage: Eukaryota; Viridiplantae; Streptophyta; Magnoliopsida; Malpighiales; Euphorbiaceae.
AUAAAGUCAAAAUUUUUUAUAAAAUUUACUGCUAAUGGUCAUAGAUACAGAAAACUCACUGAUAGCUAAAUAUGAAAAGUCAUAGACUAAGAAGUGUCAAUAUGCUACAAGAUAAUCAGAACUAAACAAAUUCAAAGAAUUGCUUAACGUUAUAAGGUCCAAUGACAUUUGGUGCUCCACUCCAAAAUAGUUGGGCAAGUUGUUGGUUUGUCUUUUGAGUAUGAUGUCCUCCAAAAAGCACAUAGUCAUUACGGUUGCUACAAAGAUUGUAGGUUUGUGUUCCAUUGCUUCCUCCUCCACAAUUCCUGCCAUUGUCCAAGCCACUGCCACAACAUAUAACUUCUCCUACUUUGAAGCGUUCAGAACAUAAAAAUUCAAAAUUAUGAUAAGAUUCAUAAGGACAAUUAUGGCAGAACCAAUAUAAGUUACUGGAAGUGAUAUAGCAUACCAUAUUUAGUUGGAUUCUUUAUUCUAUUAGCAAGAGCGUGAUAAUAGUAAACAAUUGAAUACUUGAAUCCAGGUAACCUGCUCUGCAGCUUUUUCAAGGCAACAGAUAAAGCUUUGUUGUGUUGAUUUGCAUGCUUUGAGAAGCUCUUUACACAGCUACCAUUCAAUUCAGGGCGCAUUGCUUUAAUUGUUGGAUAGCAACCCAAUGGUCCAACAUUCUGGAUUGCUAUUUUUCUUAAUCCAAUUUCAUACAGUUCCUGCAGAAAGAACAAUUGAAAAGGAAAAAAAAAAAAAAAAAUACUACAAGCUAAACAUCUUCAGAGAAAAAUACAUGUAGAAUAGAAUUAUCUCCAGUACAAAAUGCUCCGAAGAAUCAACUUAUAGAGCGAAGCUCUGAUCAGUAUGAUAAACACAUUGGAAUUUUAGACAUCUUUCUUUUUAAGGGUUUCUCAGAGCUGCCAACCUCUUUUCAAGCUCAUCAAUGCCCGAACUGCGGACAUCCUCUUCAUUCUUCCCCGCAAUUUUACCUUUUGGCACUGUUGACAACUGUGAGGCAACAUCAACACCAAUUUCAUCUAGCACUUGAUUCGUCAACUCAUCAGUUUCUUCUUCAGCCUCAUCAUCAUCCAAGGCAUCAUCUAUGGCUUCUGACAUCAUUUCUGUCGUCAUAUCCAUCUGCGCUGAUUGCCUCUGAAAUUCUCUUAUAACCUGUGCUUGCUUUGCGGGAGCCAUUUGCUUAUUCAUAGAUGCCAUUGCCUUUGUGCCACCUUUCAAACCAACAGCAACUGAAGAUUGGGCAUGCAUUGCCUGUGUAUGAGUAGCUAUGCCUCUCAUUUGAGCACGACUACCUUGUAAGCUAGCUAUUUGUUGCCUAAGCCUGACCAGUUGCCGGGCUAGAAUUUUAGUUGCUGCCUCAUUUCCUGUCUUAGCUGUUCUUUUUAUCUCAGCGACAAGCUUCUUUUCCUCUGAUUGGAGUGCCCCGAUUUCCUUCUCUAUACCUCUAGUAGCAUGUUGCAUUUCUCUCUUGCUCUCUCGAAGAGCCUCUCUGGGAUUAGGUUUCUUGUUGAAGAUGUUCAUUCUACUUUUUUAUUUUUUUGAGCUGCAAUACACUUGAGAGGUUUCUCAAGCGAGACGAAGAGAGGCGGAUGAACAGAAGAAAGAGCUCUUUGUUUUUGGCUCGAAAAUGGAAUUCGGUGCCCAGAGAUUUUGC